This is a non-coding RNA of Chinchilla lanigera (long-tailed chinchilla), 1207 nucleotides long. The record is from the annotation of a RefSeq genome assembly. NCBI's taxonomy places the organism in Eukaryota, Metazoa, Chordata, Mammalia, Rodentia, Chinchillidae.
CCUUUCUCUUCCAACAAGAGCUUGGAGCCAAAGGGCCCCCUUCCCACUAUGAGCAACCAGGUGCUUUGUUGGGUGACCCUUUGUCUACUUGGAGCAGGAACCGUGGACAGUGGCGUCACUCAGACCCCAAAAUUCCGGUUCGUAGAGAAAGGACAGGAUGUGACCUUGGAAUGUGAGCAGAAUUUGAAUCACGACAACAUGUACUGGUACCGCCAGGACCCGGGGCAAGGGCUUAGACUGAUCUACUUCUCACUAAUGACUGAUGAUGUCCAGGACGGAGACAUAACUGAGGGCUAUACUGUAUCUAGGAAGAAAAAGGAAUUCUUUCCUCUCACCAUGAAAUCGACACAAAAGAACCAGACUGCUGUCUAUUUCUGUGCCAGCAGCUUAUUCGCCGCUCUAUUUUGGAACAGGCACCAGGCUCACUGUGACAGAAAACCUGAACAGGGUGAACCCACCCAACGUGGCUGUGUUUGAGCCAUCAGAAGCAGAGAUUGGCCAGAAGAAGAAGGCCACGCUCGUGUGCCUGGCCACAGGCUUCUACCCCGACCACGUGGAGCUGAGCUGGUGGGUGAAUGGGAAGGAGACCCGCAGCGGGGUGAGCACGGACCCUCAGCCCUACAAGGAGCAUCCUGACAAUGAAAACUCCAGCUACUGCCUCAGCAGCCGCCUGAGGGUCUCAGCUGCCUUCUGGCACAACCCGCGCAACCGCUUCCGCUGCCAAGUCCAGUUCUACGGGCUCACAGAUGAUGACCCAUGGGACCAGAAGGACCGGGCCAGACCUGUUACCCAGAACGUCAGUGCUGAAGUUUGGGGCAGAGCAGAUUGUGGCUUCACUUCUGUGUCCUAUCAGCAAGGGGUCCUGUCCGCCACCAUCCUCUAUGAGGUCCUGCUGGGCAAGGCCACCCUGUAUGCUGUGCUGGUCAGUGCCCUCGUGCUGAUGGCCAUGGUCAAGAAAAAGCAUUCCUGAAGGCACUCUGGAUGAAGAAGCAGGAACUUCCAAUCCCUUAUGGUGUCCACAUGGAUUCUCCUUCUGCCAGUGCUUCUGAAGAGCUGCUUUUACUUCUCUGCUCAUUCUAAUUCUACCCCCGACACUCACACACACGUGCAUGUUCAUGGCGGAAAUAUCCCUACCGCGGCUAUCCCCAGAGUGUGUAGAUGAUAGAAUCAAUAAACAUGCCAUGCUCAGGCCUGACUGACUUGUGCA